AACGAACGCUGGCGGCAGGCCUAACACAUGCAAGUCGAGCGAACCCUUCGGGGUUAGCGGCGGACGGGUGAGUAACGCGUGGGAACGUGCCCUUUGCUACGGAAUAGCCCCCGGGAAACUGGGAGUAAUACCGUAUGUGCCCUUCGGGGGAAAGAUUUAUCGGCAAAGGAUCGGCCCGCGUUGGAUUAGGUAGUUGGUGGGGUAAUGGCCUACCAAGCCGACGAUCCAUAGCUGGUUUGAGAGGAUGAUCAGCCACACUGGGACUGAGACACGGCCCAGACUCCUACGGGAGGCAGCAGUGGGGAAUCUUAGACAAUGGGCGCAAGCCUGAUCUAGCCAUGCCGCGUGAUCGAUGAAGGCCUUAGGGUUGUAAAGAUCUUUCAGUGGGAAGAUAAUGACUGUACCCACAGAAGAAGCCCGGCUAACUCCGUG
RNAcentral lists this ribosomal RNA (432 nucleotides) under uncultured bacterium. RNAcentral describes it as "bacterial SSU rRNA". It matches the Rfam family "Bacterial small subunit ribosomal RNA", at positions 29 to 507 of the family's 1533-position model. The record is from RNAcentral.